Molecule: ribosomal RNA, 121 nt
Filed under: Bacteroidales bacterium
Lineage: Bacteria; Pseudomonadati; Bacteroidota; Bacteroidia; Bacteroidales
Source: RNAcentral
GCAAACGUUCAAACCACUCCGAAUGCACCGUAUCCCAUUCCGAACUGCGAAGUUAAACGAGGUUGGGGUGACUUAGUACUAUGGUGGGUGACCACAUGGGAAACGUCUACUGAUGUUUGUA